AUUUAAAAAAGAACUAAAUUAUUAUUGGACAUACUAAUUUUGUGAACCAUUUGAAGCAUUGGAUUCUUGACUUCCUAAGCUUCAAAACCAUAUGUAGCUUGCCCCAAGAAACUGAAGAGAGGCAGUCUUGAUUUUGAGUCAAAGUGAAAGGUGUUGUACUGCCAUGGAUCUAAAAAUAGAAAAAGAAACUUUCAAAAAUCUUUCUCUUAUCAUCUCCUCCCCUUUGUACUUUUGCCCUAGUUCCGCCCGGCACUGAAGUCGACCCUCCUACCACGUCAUAUUUGGUUGCUUGAGGAAAGAAAAGAAAGAGAAGAAAGAAAAGAAAACUUGGGAGUAAUUUGUUUUUGGG
This 349-nucleotide long non-coding RNA is filed under the name Vitis vinifera (wine grape). RNAcentral describes it as "long non-coding RNA (VVIN_LNC007754)". Lineage: Eukaryota; Viridiplantae; Streptophyta; Magnoliopsida; Vitales; Vitaceae. The record is from RNAcentral.